CAUCAAGUGAGGGAAUUUUAGUCUUCAAUCACCCACAAUAAAAAUACACAAGUCAAAAUGAUACCAUAUGCAUUAUGUUGCAUGCAGGUGUCACAGUCAAAUGAAGACAGUCUGUGUUUAUUUGAAAAUAGAAGAAAAAUGAGGAUGUAUGCCCUUUCCAAACACCAUUAUCCAGGGAUAGAUCAAAUAAGGUCAAAUUUUAACCUGGGAAAGAAAUUCUUGGAUAACCAUUUGAAUCCCCACUGCCAAAGGAGUAUGUCGUCUCCCACUUGAUAGCUAGUCAAAUCAAAAUCAGUGAAGAAGUAUGGCACAAUUGCUCCAAUCUUGGUGAGUCAAGUCUUAACUAUAUGAAGUGUUAACUGCAUUGAAAAAUUUUGUGUGGUAUUUAAGGAUAGGGAUAUAUUAUAUAUAUCUGGACUCAACUAUGGUAUGG
RNAcentral lists this long non-coding RNA (433 nucleotides) under Androctonus crassicauda. Lineage: Eukaryota; Metazoa; Arthropoda; Arachnida; Scorpiones; Buthidae. The record is from RNAcentral.